GUAAGGAAUAUUGGUCAAUGGACGAAAGUCUGAACCAGCCAUGCCGCGUGGAGGAUGAAGGUCCUCUGGAUUGUAAACUUCUUUUAUCUGGGACGAAAAAAGGUCUUUCUAGAUCGUCUGACGGUACCAGAUGAAUAAGCACCGGCUAACUCCGUGCCAGCAGCCGCGGUAAUACGGAGGGUGCAAGCGUUAUCCGGAUUCACUGGGUUUAAAGGGUGCGUAGGUGGGUUGGUAAGUCAGUGGUGAAAUCUUCGAGCUUAACUCGGAAACUGCCAUUGAUACUAUCAGUCUUGAAUAUUGUGGAGGUUAGCGGAAUAUGUCAUGUAGCGGUGAAAUGCUUAGAUAUGACAUAGAACACCAAUUGCGAAGGCAGCUGGCUACACAUAUAUUGACACUGAGGCACGAAAGCGUGGGGAUCAAACAGGAUUAGAAACCCCUGUAGUCC
Molecule: ribosomal RNA, 445 nt
Filed under: uncultured bacterium
Lineage: Bacteria
Description: partial 16S ribosomal RNA
Rfam family: Bacterial small subunit ribosomal RNA
Source: RNAcentral